UACGGAGGGGGCAAGCGUUAUUCGGAAUUAUUGGGCGUAAAGAGCUCGUAGGCGGUUUGUCGCGUCGAAUGUGAAAACCCGGGGCUCAACUCCGGGCCUGCAUUCGAUACGGGCAGACUAGGGUUCGGUAGGGGAGACUGGAAUUCCUGGUGUAGCGGUGAAAUGCGCAGAUAUCAGGAGGAACACCGGUGGCGAAGGCGGGUCUCUGGGCCGAUACUGACGCUGAGGAGCGAAAGCGUGGGGAGCGAACAGG
Molecule: ribosomal RNA, 253 nt
Filed under: uncultured bacterium
Lineage: Bacteria
Description: partial 16S ribosomal RNA
Rfam family: Bacterial small subunit ribosomal RNA
Source: RNAcentral